AGAGUUUGAUCAUGGCUCAGAUUGAACGCUGGCGGCAGGCCUAACACAUGCAAGUCGAGCGGCAGCACGGGGAGCUUGCUCCCUGGUGGCGAGCGGCGGACGGGUGAGUAAUGCAUAGGAAUCUGCCCGGUAGUGGGGGAUAACCUGGGGAAACCCAGGCUAAUACCGCAUACGUCCUACGGGAGAAAGCAGGGGAUCUUCGGACCUUGCGCUAUCGGAUGAGCCUAUGUCGGAUUAGCUGGUUGGUGAGGUAAUGGCUCACCAAGGCGACGAUCCGUAGCUGGUCUGAGAGGAUGAUCAGCCACACUGGGACUGAGACACGGCCCAGACUCCUACGGGAGGCAGCAGUGGGGAAUAUUGGACAAUGGGCGCAAGCCUGAUCCAGCCAUGCCGCGUGUGUGAAGAAGGCCCUCGGGUUGUAAAGCACUUUCAGCGAGGAAGAAGGCUUGGCGGUCAAUACCCGUCAAGAAGGACAUCACUCGCAGAAGAAGCACCGGCUAACUCCGUGCCAGCAGCCGCGGUAAUACGGAGGGUGCGAGCGUUAAUCGGAAUUACUGGGCGUAAAGCGCGCGUAGGUGGUUUGGCACGCCGGUUGUGAAAGCCCCGGGCUCAACCUGGGAACGGCAUCCGGAACGGCCAGACUAGAGUGCAGGAGAGGAAGGUAGAAUUCCCGGUGUAGCGGUGAAAUGCGUAGAGAUCGGGAGGAAUACCAGUGGCGAAGGCGGCCUUCUGGCCUGACACUGACACUGAGGUGCGAAAGCGUGGGUAGCAAACAGGAUUAGAUACCCUGGUAGUCCACGCCGUAAACGAUGUCGACUAGCCGUUGGGACCUUUAAGGACUUAGUGGCGCAGUUAACGCGAUAAGUCGACCGCCUGGGGAGUACGGCCGCAAGGUUAAAACUCAAAUGAAUUGACGGGGGCCCGCACAAGCGGUGGAGCAUGUGGUUUAAUUCGAUGCAACGCGAAGAACCUUACCUACCCUUGACAUCCAGAGAACUUGGCAGAGAUGCCUUGGUGCCUUCGGGAACUCUGAGACAGGUGCUGCAUGGCUGUCGUCAGCUCGUGUUGUGAAAUGUUGGGUUAAGUCCCGUAACGAGCGCAACCCUUGUCCCUAUUUGCCAGCGAUUCGGUCGGGAACUCUAGGGAGACUGCCGGUGACAAACCGGAGGAAGGUGGGGACGACGUCAAGUCAUCAUGGCCCUUACGGGUAGGGCUACACACGUGCUACAAUGGCCGGUACAAAGGGUUGCGAGACCGCGAGGUGGAGCGAAUCCCAGAAAGCCGGCCUCAGUCCGGAUCGGAGUCUGCAACUCGACUCCGUGAAGUCGGAAUCGCUAGUAAUCGUGAAUCAGAAUGUCACGGUGAAUACGUUCCCGGGCCUUGUACACACCGCCCGUCACACCAUGGGAGUGGACUGCACCAGAAGUGGUUAGCUUAACCUUCGGGGGAGCGAUCACCACGGUGUGGUUCAUGACUGGGGUGAAGUCGUAACAAGGUAGCCGUAGGGGAACCUGCGGCUG
RNAcentral lists this ribosomal RNA (1520 nucleotides) under Salinicola endophyticus. RNAcentral describes it as "bacterial SSU rRNA". It matches the Rfam family "Bacterial small subunit ribosomal RNA". Lineage: Bacteria; Pseudomonadati; Pseudomonadota; Gammaproteobacteria; Oceanospirillales; Halomonadaceae. RNAcentral also lists the same sequence under 1 other name. The record is from RNAcentral.